GUGCCAGCGCCGCGGUAAUACCGGCAGCUCGAGUGAUGGCCAAUCUUAUUGGGCCUAAAGCGUCCGUAGCUAGCCGCGCAAGUCCGUCGGGAAAUCCAUCAGCCCAACAGGUGGGCGUCCGGCGGAAACUGUGUGGCUUGGAACCGGAAGGCUCAGAGGGUACGUCCGGGGUAGGAGUGAAAUCCCAUAAUCCCGCACGGACCACCGAUGGCGAAAGCACUUCGAGAAAACGGAUCCGACAGUGAGGGACGAAAGCCAGGGUCUCCAACCGGAUUAGAUACCCGUGUAGUCC
Molecule: ribosomal RNA, 292 nt
Filed under: uncultured bacterium
Lineage: Bacteria
Description: partial 16S ribosomal RNA
Rfam family: Archaeal small subunit ribosomal RNA
Source: RNAcentral